GCAUUGGUGGUUCAGGGGUAGCAUUCUUGCCCUCCACGCAGAAGACCCAGGUUUGAUUCCUGGCUAAGGCG
Molecule: transfer RNA, 71 nt
Filed under: Loxodonta africana (African savanna elephant)
Lineage: Eukaryota; Metazoa; Chordata; Mammalia; Proboscidea; Elephantidae
Rfam family: tRNA
About the family: Transfer RNA (tRNA) molecules are approximately 80 nucleotides in length.
Source: Rfam by way of RNAcentral